This is a long non-coding RNA of Choloepus didactylus (southern two-toed sloth), 1119 nucleotides long. RefSeq lists it as uncharacterized. NCBI's taxonomy places the organism in Eukaryota, Metazoa, Chordata, Mammalia, Pilosa, Megalonychidae. The record is from RefSeq and is a predicted model, not a curated record. The transcript is spliced from 3 exons.
UGCUUCAGGACUUCAUUCCUUUUGACUGCUGAAUAAUAUUCCAUCACAUAACUUUGCCAUGUAUGAAGUCCUAUUCUAGGUGCUGGGGAGAGAAGAGCACAGAAAUGAAUGAGCAUCACACUCUCUUCCAGAAGCUCACAAUCUGAAGAAAAUUAGCCUAUGAUUUGCAUAUCAAGAGUGCCUGGGCUGCUUCUGUAGGACUGGGAGGCCUCCCAGAGACUGAGAAAACAACCAAAUGUGUGGAAUACUUCUUCCUGCUGAUCACUGUUCCAUGGUUUGCACAUCUCUCCAUUCAGCUCAUCUUUAUAACAAUUGCUGAUAAGGAACCCAAGGAAUGGACAAGUUCAUCAAUGUGCUCAGGUGACACAGAUCGUAAAAGCAGAGGCACGUUCCAAUCCCAGGCCAUCUGGCUCCACAGCACCUGCUCUUAACCACUACAUCAUCUUGUCUCUGAACAACAGGAGGAUCCAGCCUUGGGAAGACCAGGAGCAAAGCCCUGUCUAAGACAAAAGAGCCUGUACAAAGGCACUCAGGUGGGAGCCAGCCUGAUGGAUCUGAGGGCCUAAAAGUUCUGCUGGAAUGAUGUAAAUGAGGACAGAGUGAUACAAUAUAAGCUCCAGAGAAAGGCAGAGGCAAAAUCAAGGAGGAAUUUGCAACUCUGGAGUUUCAGUGAGAUGGGAAGUCACUAAAAGAUUUGGGUAAGGGAUAUGUAUGCUCAUGGACUAGAAGUCUCUGCUAUUGCAAAGAUGUCAGUUCUACCAAAAAUGAUCUAUAGAUUCAUUGCAAUCCCAAUCAAAAGCCAAGCAGGAGUUUUUGUGGAAAUUGACAAAGUAAUUCUAAAAUGUAUACAGAAAUGCAAAAGGUUAAGUAAGAAUAGCCAAAACAACCAUGAAGAAGAAUAGAGUUGAAGGAUUUACGGUACUAGAGGUUAAGACUUAUAAUAGCUACAGCAACUAAGACACUGUGUGACUGUUGCAAGGAUAGAGAAAUAGGAUAAUGGAACCAAACAGAGAACUGAGAAAAAUAUGUGUGCAUACCGUAAGGUUGUUCAAUGACAAAAAUGGCAGUGCUGAGUAAUAGAGAAAGGGCAAGCAUUCCAAUAAAUGCCAUUGGAUCAAA